GACGAACGCUGGCGGCGUGCUUAACACAUGCAAGUCGAACGGAAAGGCCCUGCUUGCGGGGUGCUCGCGUGUCGAACGGGUGAGUAACACGUGGGUGAUCUGCCCCUUACUUUGUGGUAAGCCUUGGAAACAGGGUCUAUUACAGGAGAGAGCAAUGCCUUAGGCGGGGUGGUGGAAGGAUUGGUUUCGGUGAGGGGUGAGCUCUCGGCGUAUCAGCUUGUUGGUGGGGUGUUGGGCUACAACGACGGCGAGGGGUAGCCGGCCGGAGAGGGUGGACGGCCACCUCGGGAGUGCGGUGCGGCGCAGCAGACUACGGCAGGAAGCAGUGGGGAAGAUUGUACAACGGGGGGAGGACUGAUGCAGCGACGCCGCGUGGGGGGUGAUGGCCGUCGGGGUGUAAAAUCCUGCCAGCGAUGAUGAAGACCUUGUGGUGACGGUAGUGGGAGAAGAAGCACCGGCUAACUACGUG
Molecule: ribosomal RNA, 469 nt
Filed under: uncultured bacterium
Lineage: Bacteria
Description: partial 16S ribosomal RNA
Rfam family: Bacterial small subunit ribosomal RNA
Source: RNAcentral